UUCAAGGGAUGGGAAUCGAACCCAUGACCUUCCGCUUACCGGGCAGAUGCCAUGACCACUAGGCUACCCUGGA
This 73-nucleotide transfer RNA is filed under the name Cordylochernes scorpioides. RNAcentral's name for it is "tRNA-Thr". The record is from RNAcentral. Lineage: Eukaryota; Metazoa; Arthropoda; Arachnida; Pseudoscorpiones; Chernetidae.